GAUUGAUUAAACGACUCGUGUGUUUCUCUUCGUCCUGAGAAUUGCUGUGAAGCUAGAUAACAUGCUAAUGCUGUGUUCUGAACAUAGUUUGACAAGUUUAGUCGACAUAUAAUAUGUCAUUUCGACGUUUUGGUGCGCACCCACUUGACUUUUUGGCUGCAUUUCAACCGAAAUGUGUCGUGUUUGAUCACCGAAAGACACAGACUUCCAAACUAAAGCUGUUUUUGGUUCCAGUGUCUGUGAAGGGAGGGUGCAGGUCCGUCCUUGGGAAGAAGGAGACAGUGAGAAGUGAUAAUUUGGAAGAGAGAAAACAAGAAAGGACGAGAAAGAGAUGACAAGGAUGGAGAGAGAGCAUCUCCCAAAAAGAAAGCCAACAUCCUGUCUUCUGUGUCCCGGAGCACUUCAUGCUUCUGCUUCCAUUAACCUCCAACGUGACGGGAGGAAAACAAGCUGGUAUUUCCCCCUCUUUCUUCCACAUAGUGUGUGAAGCUGAAAUGUGCCGCAUACACCAGAGGUGCGGGACGGAUCACAGGCGACACAGAUUAGGAGUCAACGGGGGUUCCCUUCCUCUGAUGGGGCGCUGCUGGAGAGACCAUUAGAGAACCAGAGCUUGGGCACGGAAGGGGAGGCCCAACGCUAUCAAAGCAUUUCAAACAGAAUUUCUAUCAGGCAGCUCUGCAGACGGUAAUGAAAUCGAUCAGGCCCCCUUGUCCUGAUCUCAAAGUAUGUGAGAGUGGUGUGUGAGGGAAGGGAAAUUAGCAUAACUGCCAUUCCCACAAGGAAGUGUCGAGAGUGUUCAGACGGCUGCCAAAGAGUUUAGGAGAAUUUAAAGUGCUUGACCUAAUGCCCUGUCUCCCUCAGUCUCGCUUGAUUUAUAUUCUAAAUAGAC
Oncorhynchus tshawytscha (Chinook salmon) is the source of this 889-nucleotide long non-coding RNA. Lineage: Eukaryota; Metazoa; Chordata; Actinopteri; Salmoniformes; Salmonidae. The record is from Ensembl.